GGAAGGGUGUGUGAGCGGUUGAAACAGCAGGUCUCGAAAACCUGUAGGGUGCAAGCCCUCGUGGGUUCGAAUCCCACCCCUUCCG
RNAcentral lists this transfer RNA (85 nucleotides) under Pseudomonadota bacterium. Its description in RNAcentral is "tRNA-Ser". It matches the Rfam family "tRNA". Rfam says of the family: Transfer RNA (tRNA) molecules are approximately 80 nucleotides in length. Their secondary structure includes four short double-helical elements and three loops (D, anti-codon, and T loops). Further hydrogen bonds mediate the characteristic L-shaped molecular structure. tRNAs have two regions of fundamental functional importance: the anti-codon, which is responsible for specific mRNA codon recognition, and the 3' end, to which the tRNAs corresponding amino acid is attached (by aminoacyl-tRNA synthetases). tRNAs cope with the degeneracy of the genetic code in two manners: having more than one tRNA (with a specific anti-codon) for a particular amino acid; and 'wobble' base-pairing, i.e. permitting non-standard base-pairing at the 3rd anti-codon position. RNAcentral also lists the same sequence under 1 other name. The record is from RNAcentral. Lineage: Bacteria; Pseudomonadati; Pseudomonadota.